UACGUAGGGUGCGAGCGUUGUCCGGAAUUACUGGGCGUAAAGAGCUCGUAGGUGGUUUGUCACGUCGUCUGUGAAAUUCCGGGGCUUAACCUCGGGCGUGCAGGCGAUACGGGCAAUACUUGAGUGCUGUAGGGGAGACUGGAAUUCCUGGUGUAGCGGUGAAAUGCGCAGAUAUCAGGAGGAACACCAAUGGCGAAGGCAGGUCUCUGGGCAGUUACUGACGCUGAGGAGCGAAAGCUGGGGUAGCGAACCGGAUUAGAUACCCCUGUA
Molecule: ribosomal RNA, 270 nt
Filed under: uncultured prokaryote
Description: partial 16S ribosomal RNA
Rfam family: Bacterial small subunit ribosomal RNA
Source: RNAcentral